This 1074-nucleotide long non-coding RNA is filed under the name Parus major (Great Tit). RNAcentral describes it as "lncRNA (ENSPMJG00000002511.1)". The record is from RNAcentral. Lineage: Eukaryota; Metazoa; Chordata; Aves; Passeriformes; Paridae.
CAGCUACCUGAAAAGGUGGCCAUCCUGCACAUCAAAGCACACCAAAAAGUGAGCUCUGAACUGGAAGAAGGACGUGAGCUGGUGGACAAAGAGGCAAAAGAUGCAGACAAAGGUAAGGUACUUAAAGAAGCAGUUGAGGCAACAUUAGCUCAUUAUAUGGGCGAAAGAUCGUGGGCAUUUUGCAGUGCCCUCGCUGCUUUUUGCAGUGGAAGAAUGGAUGGAUAUCGGGUAUUUGAUGUGGGAUACGGCAAUCAUGGGAAAGAGUAAAGACGUAAUAGCCCUCGGUUCAGUUUGGAAAGUUGUGUUAAAUGCCCUACGGGAUAUGAAGGCGGAGUUCUCAGUAGCAGCAGCCGCUAUAGACGCCAUGGCGCCGUCUGAUACAGACGCGCCGCAAUCACCCCCUGCCGAGUCCAAAAGUCGUUUGAGUGCAUUUUUCGGGGUUGGGCAUGUCCGGCCAGCGAAGGGGCUUACCGGAAAGCAGUGUAGCACAGUGUCGGAACUCUUAAAAUCCCAAGGGUGUGCCGAUGCGGCUCCAGCCGCGCCGGCAGAGCACUCUGUGGUUCCGGCCGUGCAGGCGAAACCCGCCGCGGCUCCAGUCACGCCGGCAGAGCCUAAACCGGAAGUUACCCUGCCGAAAGCGGAUGUAGAAAUGACGGCUGCCCCGGAUGGAGCGGGCGCCAGCUCCAGCAGGGCGGAGCCUGAUACGUCAGCAGAAACGAGAGCCGCAAAGUGCAAACCAAAGAUCUACCCUUCGACGCCAUCUACCGUUCACUGGGGAAGACCGCAGGACAUUCCUCUCCCCUCCGAUGACGACAUCUCUAUGCAUUCCGAUGAUGGGCAGCUUGCAACGGAAGCAGAGCCAACUGAUGACAGCGCAGCGGCUAAGAAGGAGCUACUGGGGUGGCAACAUCAAAUGGAGCAACUUGUACAACAGCUCCAAGUUCGAAUUGAACAAACAUUACGUGCACAUAAGGCGCAGCCUCAGCAAGAGAAAGCAGCUUCGCAGCAAACACCGAGACAACGAGCAGAGUCAGUCCAACAGCUACAGGAUAUGCUGCGUCCUGAGCCAUCUGC